RNAcentral lists this non-coding RNA (113 nucleotides) under bovine gut metagenome. RNAcentral describes it as "FMN riboswitch (RFN element)". It matches the Rfam family "FMN riboswitch aptamer (RFN element)". From Rfam's summary of the family: The RFN element is a highly conserved domain that is found frequently in the 5'-untranslated regions of prokaryotic mRNAs that encode for flavin mononucleotide (FMN) biosynthesis and transport proteins. This element is a metabolite-dependent riboswitch that directly binds FMN in the absence of proteins. The record is from RNAcentral.
UGUCUUCAGGGCGGGGUGUGAGUCCCCACCGGUGGUCAAAGCCCACUAACAGUUUUUUCUGCUGAAUCGGUGAAAUUCCGAUGCCGACGGUAAUAGUCCGGAUGAAAGAAGAU